CCUACGGGAGGCAGCAGUGAGGAAUAUUGGUCAAUGGGCUUACGCCUGAACCAGCCAAGUCGCGUGAGGGAAGACUGCCCUAUGGGUUGUAAACCUCUUUUGUCAGGGAGCAACGCCGGCUACGUGUAGCCUGCCUGCUAGUACCUGAAGCAAAAGCAUCGGCUAACUCCGUGCCAGCAGCCGCGGUAAUACGGAGGAUGCGAGCGUUAUCCGGAUUUAUUGGGUUUAAAGGGUGCGUAGGCGGAAUGCCAAGUCAGCGGUAAAAUCGCGGGGCUCAACCUGGCUCCGCCGUUGAAACUGGCGUUCUGGAGUGGGCGAGAAGUAUGCGGAAUGCGUGGUGUAGCGGUGAAAUGCAUAG
This 358-nucleotide ribosomal RNA is filed under the name uncultured bacterium. Its description in RNAcentral is "partial 16S ribosomal RNA". It matches the Rfam family "Bacterial small subunit ribosomal RNA", at positions 338 to 693 of the family's 1533-position model. The record is from RNAcentral.